Non-coding RNA from Heterocephalus glaber (naked mole-rat), 1004 nucleotides. The record is from RefSeq and is a predicted model, not a curated record. Lineage: Eukaryota; Metazoa; Chordata; Mammalia; Rodentia; Bathyergidae.
CUCCAUGAGGCCCAACAGAGGGAAGCCACCAGGCAAGGUUUGAAAGCUCCACUCAUUUCCAGGGUAUUUACAUCAGUAACUCACCUAGCCCUACUUCAUCUGGAACUCUAGCAGAAUGUUGAACAAAAGAGAUUAAAGUCAAGUUGGAAUAUCCUGAGAGUGCUAUGAAAGCACAGAAGAGCUUGCUUCCGUUGCCAGCAUCCUGUCUUGAUGAAGCAAGGUGUUCUGCAUUGAAAGCAGCCAGAACAUGAUUAUAGAAUAAUUGGCCAUAAGAAACACACUUUGGAUGUUACUGUUGCCCAUCACCUCUAGGACCUGGUUUCAGGAAAGCCAAGCUCAGAACUCCCACUUAUCAUGGAUUAUGAAUGCAAUUUAUUAAGAACUUAAUGGACAGAAGGGAUAAAAGCCUAUCUCGCCCAGUAGCAACACAGGAUUCCUAGACUCUGAGAUAAGAGGAAGAGGCUUGUAUACUACACAAGACAAAGGUAUGUAUGUGGGCUUUGACCAAGACUAUUAACACAUCAGAAGUCAGUUAAGAAACAGUCCAGGCAUCAGAUGCUCAGCUGACUCUUCAGGACUUUACGGGGCAGGGUUCGGAACGCAAGCCAAAGUCACCUGGUGGCCAAGAUGGCGGUUAUCAUCAAGACGCAAAGCCAAGCGGUUCUAAGGUUUCUUUCCUUAAAUACACAGAUACUAUUAUUUACAGAGUUCAUUUUUACAUUAAUGGUGAAAAUUUACUUCACUUGAAAAACGACCUUUAUCAUCAAACAUUGGAAAAAAAUGUAUCUUGUAUGAUGUCAAAUUUAGAUAAACAUAAUGUCAGUAUCGUAUAUCUCCAUAUACAAGAUUUUGUUCUGAGCUUGCAAAAACUACUGGAAGUUGGGAAUUUAUAAUUAAUGUGAAAAACCCAAUGAAACAUAUUUUAUUAUGGUCUGUAAUCUUUUAAGUAAAAAAUAAAUAGGAAGGAAAAUUAUGAACUAUUUAAGCUUCAUUCUCCACUCCGC